Molecule: ribosomal RNA, 257 nt
Filed under: uncultured bacterium
Lineage: Bacteria
Description: partial 16S ribosomal RNA
Rfam family: Bacterial small subunit ribosomal RNA
Source: RNAcentral
CGGGACGGGUGAGUAACGCGUGGAGAACCUGCCGUAUACUGGGGGAGUAACACUUAGAAAUAGGUGCUAAUACCGCAUAAGCGCACAGCUUCGCAUGAAGCAGUGUGAAAAACUCCGGUGGUAUACGAUGGAUCCGCGUCUGAUUAGCUGGUUGGCGGGGUAAAGGCCCACCAAGGCGACGAUCAGUAGCCGGCCUGAGAGGGUGAACGGCCACAUUGGGACUGAGACACGGCCCAAACUCCUACGGAAGGCAGCAG